This 217-nucleotide long non-coding RNA is filed under the name Ananas comosus (pineapple). RNAcentral's name for it is "long non-coding RNA (ACOM_LNC044676)". The record is from RNAcentral. Lineage: Eukaryota; Viridiplantae; Streptophyta; Magnoliopsida; Poales; Bromeliaceae.
UCGAAUUUUCAACAUCUGUCAACUUCUUACUGAGAAUAUAGUUAUCUUCAAUAAUUGUUAAUACUUCAUUUUUCAAUGCUGUUACUUUCUUCUUCAAACGGCUAAUUUGUUCGAGGAGUUCGAUAAUGUAUUCCUUUUCUCAUUCACAUAUCUCUGUAUCACGCCAACAAAAAAAAAUCACAACCGUUUCUUUUGUAAUUUAUGCAGCCAUAAAAAC